Ribosomal RNA from Scophthalmus maximus (turbot), 119 nucleotides. The record is from Ensembl. Lineage: Eukaryota; Metazoa; Chordata; Actinopteri; Pleuronectiformes; Scophthalmidae.
GCUUACGGCCACACUGCCUGGUUCACGCCCGCUCUCGUUUGAUCUCGGAAGCUAAGAUAGGUUGAGCCUGGUUAGUACUUGGAUGGGAGACGGCCUGGGAAUACCAGGUGCUGUAAGCU